This 460-nucleotide ribosomal RNA is filed under the name uncultured bacterium. RNAcentral describes it as "partial 16S ribosomal RNA". It matches the Rfam family "Bacterial small subunit ribosomal RNA", at positions 338 to 795 of the family's 1533-position model. The record is from RNAcentral.
CCUACGGGAGACAGCAGUGAGGAAUAUUGGUCAAUGGGCUUACGCCUGAACCAGCCAAGUCGCGUGAGGGAAGACUGCCCUAUGGGUUGUAAACCUCUUUUGUCAGGGAGCAAUUGGCGCUACGUGUAGCGUUAUCGAGAGUACCUGAAGAAAAAGCAUCGGCUAACUCCGUGCCAGCAGCCGCGGUAAUACGGAGGAUGCGAGCGUUAUCCGGAUUUAUUGGGUUUAAAGGGUGCGUAGGCGGAAUGCCAAGUCAGCGGUAAAAUCGCGGGGCUCAACCUCGCUCCGCCGUUGAAACUGGCGGUCUUGAGUGGGCGAGAAGUAUGCGGAAUGCGUGGUGUAGCGGUGAAAUGCAUAGAUAUCACGCAGAACUCCGAUUGCGAAGGCAGCAUACCGGCGCCCAACUGACGCUGAAGCACGAAAGCGUGGGUAUCGAACAGGAUUAGAUACCCCGGUAGUC